Molecule: ribosomal RNA, 373 nt
Filed under: uncultured organism
Description: partial 16S ribosomal RNA
Rfam family: Bacterial small subunit ribosomal RNA
Source: RNAcentral
GUAGGUGGCAAGCGUUGUCCGGAAUUAUUGGGCGUAAAGCGCGCGCAGGCGGUUCUUUAAGUCUGAUGUGAAAGCCCACGGCUCAACCGUGGAGGGUCAUUGGAAACUGGAGAACUUGAGUACUGAAGAGGAAAGCGGAAUUCCACGUGUAGCGGUGAAAUGCGUAGAGAUGUGGAGGAACACCAGUGGCGAAGGCGGCUUUCUGGUCUGUAACUGACGCUGAGGCGCGAAAGCGUGGGGAGCAAACAGGGAUUAGAUACCCUGGUAGUCCACGCCGUAAACGAUGAGUGCUAAGUGUUAGGGGGUUUCCGCCCCCUUAGUGCUGCAGCUAACGCAUUAAGCACUCCGCCUGGGGAGUACGGCCGCAAGGCUG